RNAcentral lists this ribosomal RNA (253 nucleotides) under uncultured bacterium. RNAcentral's name for it is "partial 16S ribosomal RNA". It matches the Rfam family "Bacterial small subunit ribosomal RNA", at positions 524 to 776 of the family's 1533-position model. The record is from RNAcentral.
UACGGGGGGAGCAAGCGUUGUUCGGAAUCACUGGGCGUAAAGGGCGUGUAGGCGGUCAGAUAAGUGGGACGUGAAAUGCCCCGGCUCACCCGGGGACCUGCGUCCCAAACUGUCUGACUUGAGUAUGGGAGAGGAUGAGGGAAUUCCUGGUGUAGCGGUGAAAUGCGUAGAUAUCAGGAGGAACACCGGUGGCGAAGGCGCUCAUCUGGCCCAAUACUGACGCUGAUGCGCGAAAGCUAGGGGAGCAAACGGG